RNAcentral lists this ribosomal RNA (448 nucleotides) under uncultured Actinomycetes bacterium. RNAcentral's name for it is "bacterial SSU rRNA". It matches the Rfam family "Bacterial small subunit ribosomal RNA", at positions 67 to 524 of the family's 1533-position model. Lineage: Bacteria; Bacillati; Actinomycetota; Actinomycetes. The record is from RNAcentral.
CGAUGAAAGCAGGAGCUUGCUUUUGCUGGAUUAGUGGCGAACGGGUGAGUAACACGUGAGUAACCUGCCCUUGACUCUGGGAUAAGCGUUGGAAACGACGUCUAAUACCGGAUACGAGCUAGGACCGCAUGGUCACUAGUUGGAAAGAAUUUCGGUCAAGGAUGGACUCGCGGCCUAUCAGCUAGUUGGUGAGGUAACGGCCCACCAAGGCGACGACGGGUAGCCGGCCUGAGAGGGUGACCGGCCACACUGGGACUGAGACACGGCCCAGACUCCUACGGGAGGCAGCAGUGGGGAAUAUUGCACAAUGGGCGCAAGCCUGAUGCAGCAACGCCGCGUGAGGGACGACGGCCUUCGGGUUGUAAACCUCUUUUAGCAGGGAAGAAGCGAAAGUGACGGUACCUGCAGAAAAGGCACCGGCUAACUACGUGCCAGCAGCCGCGGUAAU